GAUGAACGCUGGCGGCGUGCCUAAUACAUGCAAGUCGAGCGAACAGACGAGGAGCUUGCUCCUCUGACGUUAGCGGCGGACGGGUGAGUAACACGUUGAUAACCUACCUAUAAGACUGGGAUAACUUCGGGAAACCGGUGCUAAUACCGGAUAGUAUAUUGAACCGCAUGGUUCAAUAGUGAAAGACGGUUUUACUGUCACUUAUAGAUUGAUCCGAGCCGCAUUAGCUAGUUGGUAAGAUAACGGCUUACCAAGGCAACGAUGCGUAGCCGACCUGAGAGGGUGAUCGGCCACACUGGAACUGAGACACGGUCCAGACUCCUACGGGAGGCAGCAGUAGGGAAUCUUCCGCAAUGGGCGAAAGCCUGACGGAGCAACGCCGCGUGAGUGAUGAAGGUCUUCGGAUCGUAAAACUCUGUUAUUAGGGAAGAACAAAUGUGUAAGUAACUAUGCCCGUCUUGACGGUACCUAAUCAGAAAGCCACGGCUAACUACGUG
RNAcentral lists this ribosomal RNA (497 nucleotides) under uncultured bacterium. Its description in RNAcentral is "partial 16S ribosomal RNA". It matches the Rfam family "Bacterial small subunit ribosomal RNA", at positions 28 to 507 of the family's 1533-position model. The record is from RNAcentral.